AUCGUUUUCGACGGCCAAUACGGGUGACCUUUGGUCUAACACCAUGACGUUAGUCCGUUGGCGAGAGGCGCAAAAGUUUGAUCGGCCGGCGUCUGUGAGGACAAUAUUCGGAUUGGUGUUCGGGCCUCGUUAUAAUUACGUCACUUUCGUUUACGGUUGUCAUGUCGUGCUUAACACCGGUACUUAGCACUGGUUGGCGCUAGUACUUAGUACCUACUUAUCCAUGCAUGGACAUCGAUGAUGUCAUUGCGCAUUUGAGUAGCUUAGUUUUUUUUUUGAUUUUCUGUGGUGACGAGUUUUAACUGUCGAGUGUCUAUAUCUUAUAUGUAGUGUCAACUCUGUUCGCUCAUUCACUAAUCAGUAUUCACUUCUUAAUACUACAAUAAAUAGGUGAGAUAUCUGUAAAAGAGAUGGACAAAACUGCCGAGAACUCACCAUAUAAAAGUAAUCAAAUGCAAGUUCUGAAAUCCGAUCAAAGUAAACCUACACAUUUUAAAAACAGCUCUCACUCUGUUAGAUUACUUGAAGUCUUAAAAUCUUUAUAUAUGAAGUUUUAUGUGAAAUCAGCUUAAAAACAGAUGACGGAACAAUAGUGUUGUGACAUAAAAAUGUUUUAAUAGUAGCUAGUCCAUAUUUCCGUGCAAUGUUUAGUAAUUUUGAUUAUAGCAAUAAAAAUAUUGUCAAUAUAAGAAAAUUAGAUAUCACUAUUUUAUAUCUUAUAACUAUGACUGAGACAUGGUACAGAUACUAAUUGUUGGCAUUCAAGCUAGAUGUCCACCUGUAGUUGAAUUUGGGGUAUUCAAGAUGGAAACAUGGUUUUCAAGUACAUUUCCUCAAGAGACACCGAGUGCCAUUGUAAUUGGAAACAACCACAAGGCACCGAAAUCUACUGAAAUGGAAAUUUAAACAAAACGUAUUGCCAAACAUUACGUAUACUGGGAAAGUUGUUUUUGGAUAAUGAAACUCUAACCUAACUUACGUUCUGGCAAAAAAUGAUAGUCAAACACUGUGAAAUUGGAACAUUAUUUUUGAACCUUACAAUUCUGGACUAUGGCGUUCGAAUACAUUCUGAUGAACAUGAUGGUUUUGUAAGUGUAUCUUUUUAAACUGAUUACUAUUCAAAUGGAAAACAUUGUGAGGUUAAAAUGUAAUGUAUCUUAACAACUUAACCCUGCCUCAGAGAGAAGAGUUUAUCAUAUAAACAAUUUAAGUGCCACCCGUAACACCAGAAAAAUCCCUUCCCGACUGUCAUACAAUGCAUAUUGGAAAAGUGUCAUAUUAGAAUAUUUGAACACAGAGACAGUGACUAUUAAUUGUAUUAAUGAUAUUAGCAAUGAAACUGGUGACUUAAAAACAUUUAAUUUGAAACUUUUUAAUCU
This is a long non-coding RNA of Acyrthosiphon pisum (pea aphid), 1379 nucleotides long. RefSeq lists it as uncharacterized. NCBI's taxonomy places the organism in Eukaryota, Metazoa, Arthropoda, Insecta, Hemiptera, Aphididae. The transcript is spliced from 3 exons. The record is from RefSeq and is a predicted model, not a curated record.